Molecule: regulatory RNA element, 95 nt
Organism: Streptomyces avermitilis MA-4680 = NBRC 14893
Lineage: Bacteria; Bacillati; Actinomycetota; Actinomycetes; Kitasatosporales; Streptomycetaceae
Rfam family: TPP riboswitch aptamer (THI element)
About the family: Vitamin B(1) in its active form thiamin pyrophosphate (TPP) is an essential coenzyme that is synthesised by coupling of pyrimidine and thiazole moieties in bacteria. The previously detected thiamin-regulatory element, thi box was extended, resulting in a new, highly conserved RNA secondary structure, the THI element, which is widely distributed in eubacteria and also occurs in some archaea.
Source: Rfam
GUACCGGACACGGGGUGCCCCAUCCGAGGGCUGAGAUCACACCCGUCGAACCUGAACCAGUUCGUACUGGCGGAGGGAUGUCUUCCAUGCCUUUG